Molecule: ribosomal RNA, 433 nt
Filed under: uncultured bacterium
Lineage: Bacteria
Description: partial 16S ribosomal RNA
Rfam family: Bacterial small subunit ribosomal RNA
Source: RNAcentral
AACGAACGCUGGCGGCAUGCCUAACACAUGCAAGUCGAACGAGACCUUCGGGUCUAGUGGCGCACGGGUGCGUAACGCGUGGGAACCUGCCCUUAGGUUCGGAAUAACUCCCCGAAAGGGGUGCUAAUACCGGAUAAUGUCUUCGGACCAAAGAUUUAUCGCCUUUGGAUGGGCCCGCGUUGGAUUAGCUAGUUGGUAGGGUAAAAGCCUACCAAGGCGACGAUCCAUAGCUGGUCUGAGAGGAUGAUCAGCCACACUGGGACUGAGACACGGCCCAGACUCCUACGGGAGGCAGCAGUGGGGAAGAUUGGAAAAUGGGCGAAAGCCUGAUCCAGCAAUGCCGCGUGAGUGAUGAAGGACUUAGGGUUGUAAAGCUCUUUUACCCGGGAUGAUAAGGACAGUACCGGGAGAAUAAGCUCCGGCUAACUCCGUG